CUAGGAAUCUGCCUGGUAGUGGGGGACAACGUUUCGAAAGGAACGCUAAUACCGCAUACGUCCUACGGGAGAAAGCAGGGGACCUUCGGGCCUUGCGCUAUCAGAUGAGCCUAGGUCGGAUUAGCUAGUUGGUGAGGUAAUGGCUCACCAAGGCGACGAUCCGUAACUGGUCUGAGAGGAUGAUCAGUCACACUGGAACUGAGACACGGUCCAGACUCCUACGGGAGGCAGCAGGC
This 236-nucleotide ribosomal RNA is filed under the name uncultured Pseudomonas sp. Its description in RNAcentral is "partial 16S ribosomal RNA". It matches the Rfam family "Bacterial small subunit ribosomal RNA", at positions 117 to 354 of the family's 1533-position model. Lineage: Bacteria; Pseudomonadati; Pseudomonadota; Gammaproteobacteria; Pseudomonadales; Pseudomonadaceae. The record is from RNAcentral.